GUCUAUGGCCAUGCAACCCUUGACAAACCCCAUCCCGUCUGAUCUUGGAAGCUAAGCAGGGUUGGGACUGGUUAGUACUUGGAUGGGAGACCACCUAGGAAGACCAGGUGCUAUAGGAG
Molecule: ribosomal RNA, 119 nt
Filed under: Pteropus alecto (black flying fox)
Lineage: Eukaryota; Metazoa; Chordata; Mammalia; Chiroptera; Pteropodidae
Source: RNAcentral